ACAGCGUGCUAGAUGAAGGCCUUCGGGUUGUAAAUAGCUGUUAUUAGGGAAGAAUAGCAUUAGUAGGAAAUGACUAGUGUCUGACGGUACCUAAUCAGAAAGCACCGGCAAAACAUGUGCCAGCAGCCGCGGUAAUAC
This 138-nucleotide ribosomal RNA is filed under the name uncultured Bacillota bacterium. RNAcentral describes it as "uncultured Firmicutes bacterium partial 16S ribosomal RNA". It matches the Rfam family "Bacterial small subunit ribosomal RNA", at positions 396 to 526 of the family's 1533-position model. Lineage: Bacteria; Bacillati; Bacillota. The record is from RNAcentral.